RNAcentral lists this ribosomal RNA (539 nucleotides) under uncultured bacterium. RNAcentral describes it as "bacterial SSU rRNA". It matches the Rfam family "Bacterial small subunit ribosomal RNA", at positions 777 to 1314 of the family's 1533-position model. The record is from RNAcentral.
AAUAGAUACCCGGGUAGUCCACGCCGUAAACGAUGAGUGCUAAGUGUUAGAGGGUUUCCGCCCUUUAGUGCUGCAGCUAACGCAUUAAGCACUCCGCCUGGGGAGUACGGUCGCAAGACUGAAACUCAAAGGAAUUGACGGGGGCCCGCACAAGCGGUGGAGCAUGUGGUUUAAUUCGAAGCAACGCGAAGAACCUUACCAGGUCUUGACAUCCUCUGACAACUCUAGAGAUAGGGCGUUCCCCUUCGGGGGACAGAGUGACAGGUGGUGCAUGGUUGUCGUCAGCUCGUGUCGUGAGAUGUUGGGUUAAGUCCCGCAACGAGCGCAACCCUUGAUCUUAGUUGCCAGCAUUUAGUUGGGCACUCUAAGGUGACUGCCGGUGACAAACCGGAGGAAGGUGGGGAUGACGUCAAAUCAUUAUGCCCCUUAUGACCUGGGCUACACACGUGCUACAAUGGAUGGUACAAAGGGCUGCAAGACCGCGAGGUCAAGCCAAUCCCAUAAAACCAUUCUCAGUUCGGAUUGUAGGCUGCUAACCG